AAGACCAUUGAAUAAAGAAAAUGUCGAUGCUCCUGAAGAUUUGGAGGAGCAUCCUAAUGAUGAGGAAGAGGUGGAGGGAAUUGAUCUGCACCAGCAACGUUACCCGUGGGAGGGAAGUGACAUGGAUUACUUAUACGACGAGGUAAGCAUAUCAUUAGAUGGUUUGCGGUCCAUCUUUGAGAGCCGUCGAUUGUAAGUGUCUAUCGUUUUGAAGUUGUACGACACUAAGAUGUAAAGAAUUACUAAUCAUGAUUACCUUACUAGCAGAGUUCUUUUGCACAUCUAUUGUCAAUGGAAUUAACACUGGAAAUUGAUGGUGUUAUAUUUCAUGUUCCAAUGCUAACGCAAGCUCCAAUAUUGAUUCUCAGCUUUAACAUGCCAAAAUCACAAUGCAGGGGGUGUUGUAAGGUAAUUCAGUAGGCACAAAUGUUCAGUUGAAAAAAAAAUUCUAAACUGUAUUUAUGCAUCAAACUUAUCAUCCGUAACAUAAUAAUAUGUUUUUUCUGUGCUAAGAACCGUUUGUAAAUAAAUGUCUCGGAUGUAUAUGACUGCUUAGUUUGUUGCUUUUGACAGUGAAAUCACUAAGCUUGCAAUGUGUCAGGACAACAAAAGCAUCACAGCUGAUGGUUAGCUUUACAAUUUCAUUGGUUUCUUUUUCCUAUUAUGUUGGAUGGAUUAUUUUAGCUAACAAAUAUCGCAACAGAACGCUGGCAAUAACUCUAAUAGAUUUAUAUAUACAUUUAGAAUUGGAAGUUUGGUGAGAACAUGAACAAGUACUUCUGUCACGCUAUUGGACAGUUAUAAGCCAUUUCAAGAGAAUUGAUUUCUUAUAUUUCCCAUAAUCAGUAAGAUUUUAACUGUUUUGUCUACUUUGCAUUCAUACCUCAUUCUCCAUCUAACUUAUCGGUGCUACUAUAUAAUGAUCAAGUCAUUUUCUGCACAAAUAGGUAAGUGGGGAUGUUACGCUGGGUGCUUGGUUUUUUGGGCUUGGCUAUACAAAGUCUGUUGUGACUCUAAAACUUUUACCUCAUUUAACAUUGAUUAUGGUUCUUGGGAAAAUUGCAGAUUAUGAAUGAAAGGCACAAGCAGGGAACAUAUGUGUAGCUGCGUUCGACUCGACAUGUAGCGGUAUCUGCAGAACCGCUGAUCCCAUUGUGGAGGUUAACAUGCAAUGUAUUGACCUGGAAAUCAUUAUUUGGAAGCUACAUUUCGAGGCAUUUCCUCAACAUAUAAAUAGACCAUAGACAGAGUUUGAUAUUUAUAAUACUCAGUGAUCAUGGAGUCUGCAGAAAACAGUCCUUUUGCAUAUUCUAUAUGGAACCAAGAGAUAUGUCAUUUGUUUGAUGAUUGUAUUAUGAUAGCUACUAACAUAGGAGAUGACUAGAGAAAGAAAAAUGAGUAUGAAACUCUUAUAUGGUAGCUUUUGUAAACACAUUUGAGUUUAUUAACAGUUGUGACAAGCAAUUAUGUUUAUAGUAAAGGAAACCCGCCGCAGCGUCAAUAACAAAUGCGCUUGUUUUUUGGUUGUUUGGGAUUGAAAUAGCUUAUGGGUUUUCUAAAUCAAUAUAAUUGAUUUGACUAAAGCUAUCUUGGAUGACAGAAAGAAUGAUUGUAAGUUUAAUAACUUCUACUUUAGACUUUAAUUUCAACUAAAUUAUAAUCAGUCUUUUAUUCAUAUCAUCUUAGUUAUAAUCGUAAGGAUUUAUUAGAAUAAAUAAACAGUUUCAACAAUAUUUAAUAUGUGAUUUAAUAAACAAAAGAACAUGCAGGAUUUUUAGGAUUUAAAGAGAUUGGAGACAAUAGUUAAUGAAUAUGAAAAAAAUACGAAGCAGAUGAUGACAAAUGAUUCGAGCAAAUUAGUGGCAACACAGAGCUAAGCGAGAUAAAAAUAUCAAUCAAUAAAGAAUGAAAGAAGAAUGAGCAGAGUUAAGUUAUUACACAAGUCAAAACUAAGACAAAUCAAACGACAUAACGUGAAAACAAAUGUAAACAAGACAAGAGGAGAUGGUGAAUAUAAAAUGCAUUGAAAAACUGAAUGCUGGAUUAGUAAGAAAGAGACAAAAAUAGAUUAAAAUGCAAAAAUCCCGCGCCAAAAAACAAAAAUAGAUUAAAAUGCAAAAACUCCGCGUCUUGGCGCGGAUGACAAUCCCUAGUACUAUAAAAUAGACAGAUAUUUAGUGUGUAUAUAAAACAAAACCUAAAGGAUAAUCAUAUCUAUAUUUAUCUUUAACAAUUUUUAGUUAAAGUUGCAAAAUUUAGUCUUGACAAAAAAAGAGAGUUCCAAACAAAAAAAACAAUUGAAACCCUAUCGACUCUCUCUUCUUCUCCCACUCGCCGUCUUCUCCGAAUCACCACCACGGCCAUCACCACCGGUCCUAUCCCAUCUGUCAGCAAGUCCAGCACGUCUCCGUCCAACUCUUCACCCCCGUUCCUCUUUUCCUCGUCUCCUCCUGUCCAGGAUUCUCGGGAGUGAGGAAAAUUGUGAGUCGGAGACGAACAGCGGCGGCGAGGAGACAUAGCUUAACUUCGACUUCCAUGGAGUUUGGCGUGUGUUCAAGCUCGAGGGAUGAGGAGAUGGAUUCAAGGGAGGAGAUGGAGUUGGAUUCAAAGAAUAAGUCUUUUACCCUCUUUCUCAGAUUCAAUUUCAUUUCUAAUUUAAUGUAUUGAUUAUGGAGGAAAUAACCAUAUGACAGGAAUUCAAUUGAGACAGAGACGAGCGAAGAGACGACCUGCCUCUCGAUCUGCCAAUCUAAGUGAGCAAGCUCGUUCGUAUGUUGAAGGUUGGAGGUGAAGCAGUGGAGAAAUUCUUGGUUCCAGGAGAGCCCUCGCUAUGAUGGAGCUAAUUUACCUCAUUCUUCGAUUCCCCUUCUCAAUCUCACGGGCUUCUUCUCUCUCUCUCUCUUUUGUUAUUGCAGUGUUCUUGUUCAAUGUUGCAGGGCUCAAGAUGGUCGUUUGUGAAUCUACUCCCCUUGUCAAAUAAGGUCAGGUGAGCAAGCGUUGUUAUGUGAUGUUCAAGGGUGUAGGAAACUGAUGUUCUCGAUUAACUUCAGCGCUGCUAGGAUUUUGAAGUAGGGCAUUUGCAUAACUCAUAGGAGCCAACAUCACGAGUAGUAUGACUUCUGUAAUGGGACUCCAUGAAUUUGGUUGAGAUCCUUAAACUAAGAAGAAGAAGAUCCUUAAAGAGAUCUAUUGAGGGACACACGAAUAGCACACAAAGUUGAUGGAAGAGUAUGAAGACUAAGAACAUGAGCGUGGACACACUUGUGGAUUAGUUUUAGGUUUAGUUUAGGGUUAUCUGGUUUGAUUUUGGUUUAGUUUUUUAUUUAUAAACCAUAAUAUUUUUGUAAAUCAAAAUUUCUUUUCUAAUAAAUUGUAUUAUUUUUUUAAAAGCAAUAUAAACCAAUUAUAACUA
Molecule: long non-coding RNA, 3412 nt
Organism: Brassica napus (rape)
Lineage: Eukaryota; Viridiplantae; Streptophyta; Magnoliopsida; Brassicales; Brassicaceae
Exons: 8
Source: RefSeq, a predicted model, not a curated record